CGAGUUUGAUCCUGGCUCAGAUUGAACGCUGGCGGCAGGCCUAACACAUGCAAGUCGAGCGGAUGAUGGGAGCUUGCUCCCGGAUUCAGCGGCGGACGGGUGAGUAAUGCCUAGGAAUCUGCCUGGUAGUGGGGGACAACGUUUCGAAAGGAACGCUAAUACCGCAUACGUCCUACGGGAGAAAGCAGGGGACCUUCGGGCCUUGCGCUAUCAGAUGAGCCUAGGUCGGAUUAGCUAGUUGGUGGGGUAAAGGCCUACCAAGGCGACGAUCCGUAACUGGUCUGAGAGGAUGAUCAGUCACACUGGAACUGAGACACGGUCCAGACUCCUACGGGAGGCAGCAGUGGGGAAUAUUGGACAAUGGGCGAAAGCCUGAUCCAGCCAUGCCGCGUGUGUGAAGAAGGUCUUCGGAUUGUAAAGCACUUUAAGUUGGGAGGAAGGGCAGUAAGUUAAUACCUUGCUGUUUUGACGUUACCAACAGAAUAAGCACCGGCUAACUUCGUGCCAGCAGCCGCGGUAAUACGAAGGGUG
Molecule: ribosomal RNA, 531 nt
Filed under: uncultured bacterium
Lineage: Bacteria
Description: bacterial SSU rRNA
Rfam family: Bacterial small subunit ribosomal RNA
Source: RNAcentral